AUAUAUUUUAUUAAAAAAAAAAAUCUGUUCUUAUCAGUUUAAUAUCUGAUACGUCCCCCAUCGGGGGACUACAUAUUAAAUGGAUUUUUC
RNAcentral lists this small nuclear RNA (90 nucleotides) under Salmo salar (Atlantic salmon). RNAcentral's name for it is "U2 spliceosomal RNA". It matches the Rfam family "U2 spliceosomal RNA", at positions 1 to 106 of the family's 192-position model. Rfam says of the family: U2 is a small nuclear RNA (snRNA) component of the spliceosome (involved in pre-mRNA splicing). Complementary binding between U2 snRNA (in an area lying towards the 5' end but 3' to hairpin I) and the branchpoint sequence (BPS) of the intron results the bulging out of an unpaired adenosine, on the BPS, which initiates a nucleophilic attack at the intronic 5' splice site, thus starting the first of two transesterification reactions that mediate splicing. Lineage: Eukaryota; Metazoa; Chordata; Actinopteri; Salmoniformes; Salmonidae. The record is from Rfam by way of RNAcentral.